This 253-nucleotide ribosomal RNA is filed under the name uncultured bacterium. Its description in RNAcentral is "partial 16S ribosomal RNA". It matches the Rfam family "Bacterial small subunit ribosomal RNA", at positions 524 to 776 of the family's 1533-position model. The record is from RNAcentral.
UACGAAGGGUGCAAGCGUUACUCGGAAUUACUGGGCGUAAAGGGUGCGUAGGUGGUCGUUUAAGUCCGUUGUGAAAUCCCUGGGCUCAACCUGGGAAUGGCAGUGGAUACUGGACGGCUAGAAUGCGGUAGAGGGUAGUGGAAUUCCUGGUGUAGCAGUGAAAUGCGUAGAGAUCGGGAGGAACACCAGUGGCGAAGGCGGCUCGCUGGGCCGGCCCUGACGCUGAGGCGCGAAGGCGUGGGGAGCGAACGGG